RNAcentral lists this long non-coding RNA (3306 nucleotides) under Homo sapiens (human). RNAcentral describes it as "HSALNT0352696". Lineage: Eukaryota; Metazoa; Chordata; Mammalia; Primates; Hominidae. The record is from RNAcentral.
GAUCACCCCGACGCGGGUGGCGAGGGUCCCGCCGAGCGCCAGGUCUAAGAGACACUUUUUCCCGAGUCCACUGACGGCUUCUGAACCCCUGCUCCGGCCGGUCCGCACCGUUCCGGCAUUCUCUUGCUCAGUAACAAUUUCGCAGAAUCCCAUCACGUCACAAACCAAACCCCCUCCAAUUGGCCAGUGGGGAGGGUGAUUCAACUCUGUUUACUUUCUCCCCCUGCCAGUCAGAACGGCCUUCGGUGGAGAGGUGCGUCUAGAACUGAGGCGUGCGGCCAAUCCGACUGUUCCGUUUCGCUGCCUCGUGCUACCCCUACAGCCUCGAACACUGACAUUUAAAAGGGUAACAGCUGGGAGGCAGGGAAGGGGCAGCCGCACACUUUCGGAGUGCCUCGCGGUCCCGUGGCCGGUCCGGGCCUCCUGGCUCACGUUCCAGCUUGCGGAGCUUUGGGACACAUCUUUCCUAGUCAGUUGCGCUCGUUCCUAUGGCAAAAGAGAACUUCAGCUUCGGUUUUCCAGCUCCCAAACAGUUAAGUGACUUCCUGCAAACGCUACAGUCCCAGCAACCAGCCUUCCAAUCAAAAUGAAUAAACCAGCAGACCAAUUCAGAGCCCAUUUCAGUGGUGCAGGUGAGAGGUGUUAGAGACCUGGACAAGGUGGUGGCAGAUGAAGAUGGAGAGAAGAGAGAUAGGAUCUCGCUAUGUUGCCCAGGCUGACCUCCUGCCUCAUGCAUCCCUCACCAAGCUUAACAGUUUUUCACCUUCUCCUCUUUUUCCUGCCUGGAACAUGAAUGUGAUGACUGGAGGUGAGGCAUCUAUUUUGUGACCAUGAAACAAGAAAGCACAAAAGGAAUAGCUGAGCCUAAAAAAUAGAAGGAAUCUGGAUCUUUGACUUCAAUGAGCCAUUGUUGAGCUCUGGGCUCUUCAUUUUUUGUUAAGUGAGAAAAAUAAAGCCUUAUUUAUUUGCAUUAUUGUUAGCCUGGUUUCUGUUAAUAGAAGGUAAAUGGAUUCAUAACUGAUAUAGCAGUAGAAAGAGCCCAGUGGAAAAUUGAACCUUUAAGUAGUUUAUGAAUCAGGGUUAUGGGGAGAGAACUGCUUUGCCAGUUCUUAAAUGGGACAAGUCAUUCUUCUAAUCCCAUGCCCUCGAGAUGUGAUAGGGAUUGUCCCAAAUAUUUGGAGCCCUGGAUUUUGGACCCUCAGGGAUUUAGUUUGCUGAGGUGGCUCUUGCUUGCUUUGGGACAUUAGCCUGAAUUUGCCUGGGGCAUGGAAAGUAUGAAUGUAAAAGCAGGUGAGAGAAAAGAAAAUACCAGAAAUUAGACUGCUCUUGUCAAAUAUGGGAGGCUUCCUGAGGUGAGGAAGACCUGUAUCACAGGGAACACUUGAGAUUCACUCAUGAAAUUACACAGAGCAUUAGUCUCGAGGGAGGGGAAAGAAAAGAGGCAGUUUAGAGAGGCCCUCAAAGCACAGAUGAUUGCUAUUGCUGCUAUGCUAUUGCUAUAUUUGAGACUCAAAGGAGUAUAUUUAACACUUAUUCUGCUGGCACUUCAUUUAACUUCUUUGGCUAUAUGUAACGCCUUUUUAACAAAAAUAAAAUACUAUUUUUUAAAACUCCAUUAACACGUCAAAUUUUAACAAUAAAAAUUAAAUUGUACAUUUCAGUGUUUUGUCUGAGCCUCUGCCAGAACUUGGCAGUGCCCUGGGUUCUUUUAAUUAAGGCUACAGAUGGAUAGUGAAAAGUUCAGUUUCCCCGACUGAUUCAUACAAUGCAGGGCCCUUGUCUCUGACCUUCACCCUUUUCCACCCAGCCACAGCACUAAAAUCUUUCUUCUCUGAGAAAGCAGACAUGGCUGUUCCUCCCUUCUGAGCAUCCAGUAACCUGGCAAUGCUUUCGUUGCUACCAUUGGUGAUAACGACAAGAAAACCCUGAACAGCAACUGCAUGGAGCUGGCUCCCAUCUAGCCCAAUGUCUGGCUUAUUCAGGUUCUCUGGCCUUCUUUGAGGGGGUGGGCACUGGAAAGGAAAUGGAUCUCUGGACCAUCCUACUUCCUGCAUUGUAUUUACAAACACCACCUUCCUAAGCUCUCUGGAUAAGUGAGGUUCCUCUUCUACCACAAAUGACUCAUGCUGUAUUGUAAAUUAUUUUGGGACUCUGAGCUAGCCCUCAGCAUGUUAUCCACUGCAGGCUAUCAUUCAUUAGAGCAUCCCGCUGCCCCUGAUUUUGUAUCCCAUGCUCCUCCACAUUGGCUAGAGUUCCUGAGUCGAGAAGCUUAGGGUUUAUUUCAUAGGUCAUCCACCCCGACCCCUCCAACUUUUCUCUUUGCUUAAAUUUGUGUUUCAGAUGGAAGCAGUGAAUUCUGGAAUUCCCAGGUCUCUCUAAUGUAAAUGUCUAGAAAGAAGUUGGGCAUUGCAAGGUCAGGGAGGGUGUUAAGAGCUUCAGAUUUAGAGAAGCUGUUGACCAAAUCGUUUUGGUUUCAAACCUUAGAUAUACUGGUGACCACACAGAGGGAAGUAGACUCCUGGGCUAUAAUCCCAGAGGCUCUUGUUCAGUAGAUUUGAUGUAGGUGGCCUGUUUGACACACUUUGAGAAACCAUAGGAGCUUGCUGGUAUGGGAUUGGAUUCCCAGUGGUUCUUAAUGGAGCGUGGUACCCAAAGGGUAUUUAGGAAUCUGUGGGAGUCACCAGUAUUUAAUGUGUGGAGGCUGGAUAUGCCAAACCUCCUGCAGUGUGUGGCACAAUCCUACACAACAAGGAAUUGUUCUGCCUCAAUGCUAAUAGAACCUCCUUUUAGAAACACUGGGCUGGAAGGUGGAUGGUGAAGGGUCUUCUGUUUUGUCCUCCGAGUAACAGAAAGCUGGGCUGGUCUUCUCAUGAGGCAAUCUAGGCACAACCCCUAAGGUUUAGGAAAAUGUUUAAGAUCAGAAAAAAUUAUAGGUCCAGAAGUUAUUGCUUAAAUUAUAUAUAAUGUAGCCUUGGGUGGCAUAUUAAUAUCAUUGAUGUAUUUUGGGUUGAGAUCUCUGGAAAGCAAGAAACUUAGAACUUAUGAAGGUUCUAAAAUAGCCCUGCUGGAGACUGAUUGUAUCUCUCUAAGAAAGACAUGAGGCUAAGAGUGCUCAAUUUCAGCCUCUACCAUCUUCUUUCUGACAUUAUUUCUCAUUCAAGUCAACUCCCUCAUCCCCCAAUGCUCUCCAAGCCUUCAGAGCUGUCUGCAGCCUGCAAGAGGUAGGAGGAACUAGGUGGGCAUGCGAUUCUGCGUGAUUGCCUAUAGGAAGUGGUAGGGAUUUCUGAUUUGUGGCAGCUCGGCUGU